Molecule: long non-coding RNA, 1389 nt
Organism: Amphiprion ocellaris (clown anemonefish)
Lineage: Eukaryota; Metazoa; Chordata; Actinopteri; Pomacentridae
Source: Ensembl
CUUGACGCCGCCAGAGGGACUGAGGUAACCAGGUUCAGACGUACCAUUGUUAAAGAACACGGGGUUCCAAAGUGCUGCUCAAAUGGGGAUUUCUGUGAGCAUGUCUUGGCGACAUCUCCGUUCGAGGUGGUUCAUAACGUUGGCGUUUUACAGAACUGAAUGCGGAGAGUGAAAAGGGGUCAGCGGUCGUUUAAAUGCUUUAAAAUAAUGCAGCUCUCCACAGAUGGUCUCUUCCAUCCGACUUCAUCCAGCGUGGUGGUGCACGUGCGGCCGUCCUCGUUUCACCGGAGCACGCUGGAGGGGUGACGUAAUGUCGUCAGGACGCAUGCAUAAGGAGACCAUGAUGUAAUGUUGUUUAUUUGUGUUUAAAUAUCCAUUCUUAUGUCAGAUUGUUUUUUUUCCAUAACAUGUUCCUGUGUCAGGUCCAAUCAGUGUGCGUGUGGACGUAACGCUGUGGUUGUGCUCAUCAUAUAUGCAGAGGUGGAGCUGGAUGAUUUUUAAGCGUGUAAGACCAUCACUCACACUGAGGUGGCAUAAUGUAUUUUGUUGUUUUAGGAAAUCACACAUCUCCACAGACUUGACACCUUUUACAGGAUGCACUGACUUAAAAAUUACCUUCUGUGUUCAGUGGUAGAACCAGAUAGUUUCUCCUGGGUGAGACCAUUAACCACACUGAGGUGGCUGAGAUGUCUCAGUUUUUUCUAUCUCUGAAGGCCAACCAGUCAUUUCAUUGGUAACUUACCAUUAUCAUUUGCUUAUGCAGGUAAGACUGCCACUAGAAACGCAUAAGAACUCAUGUACAGUAUAAUAAACUGUUUAUGUAAUCAUGUAAUCCCUCAGUCUCUUAUCAUCAUCUCAGGAGACUUUAAUCAUGCAUCGCUCUCUGCCACUCUCCCCACGUUCACCCAGUACGUGACCUGCCAUACCAGAGACAAUAAAACCCUGGACCUGCUGUAUGCAAACAUCAAGGAUGCAUACAGCUCCUCCCUCCUCCCCCAGCUGGGCCAAUCAGAUCACAACCUGGUGAGACUGCAGCCCAUUUACAUACCUAUGGUGAAGAAACAACCCCCCACCACCAGGUAUGUGAAGAAGUGGUCUGACGAGGCCACUGAGGCGCUGCAGGACUGCUUUGAGACCACAGACUGGGAUGUGCUGUGUGGUCCACACGGGGAGGACAUUGAUGCACUGACGGACACUAUCACGGACUACAUUAACUUCUGUGCAGAGAACAUCGUACCGACCAGGAAAGUACGGUGUUUCUCUAACAGCAAACCCUGGGUGUCCCUGGAACUGAAGGCCCUGCUGAAGGAGAAGAGGAGGGUUUUUGGAUCUGGGGACAAAGAGGAGCUGAGGAGGGUGCAGAAGGAGAUAAAGAAGAAGAUCAAGGCG